Molecule: long non-coding RNA, 2604 nt
Organism: Solanum pennellii
Lineage: Eukaryota; Viridiplantae; Streptophyta; Magnoliopsida; Solanales; Solanaceae
Exons: 5
Source: RefSeq, a predicted model, not a curated record
AGUAACCCUAAGCCGACACACCACCAGCGACCCCGACGAGCCACUAGGAACCGCCUCACUUCUCCACCCUCUCCGUCGUACCAAUAAACCCAACCACGUCUCUUCUCCAUCCUAUCUGUUGUAUCAAUAAACCCCAUCGCUGUCUCUCGUUCUGAUGAAAAAGGAUUGACACCAUAAAAUCAACACCGUAACUAGAAAUCUGACAACAAGGAGGUGUCAAUAACAAAGGCGGAGGUACAGUAGCCGAUGGGAAUUCGGCCGAAUCCACUGACUUUUCCGUAAAUUCUAUAUUUGUAUUAAAUUAUGAAGUAGAACAUACGUGUAUAUAUAUAUAUAUAUAUAUCCCGUUAUUUAAAAAUGACAAUUGUACGAACGUAGCUGUUCAAAUUUGUACUAUUUUUUGCAUUGAAGGUACCUUUUGGUGCGAUAUUUAAGACACAUGUACCCAAUAUAACACGUGUCUUCCCUUAAAUUACUCAUAACAUCUCUUAGCCCCAAUUCCUCAUAAUCCACUUUGCCUUAAUUCCAUCGCCAUGGUUGUGGAGUUUCUUUUGAAGUUCACUGACGUUGUGCUUGCAGCUUCAUUGUUCUCAGUAGUACAAAUGUAUUUUACAGUGAAGAAACCUUACCCCAGAACAAGAACCAGGUUCUUGUAAGUUGCUUUUAAGUAAAGACACAAACACUGAUUGAAUUAAAAACCUUCCUCACUCAAGGAAGGAAAAACCUCGGUUUAUUAAUUCAAUUAUAAGAUUUUGUGAUUACACCUCAAUAAUCAAGAAACCCUUAUCUCUACUACCUCUCUCGAUUGACUCCAAUCGAUCUCUCCAAAAGGCCAAACCCACCUUUUGUUACAACUCUCACUAACACUCAACCCUACAAAGAGCCAAACCCACCCUUUGUACAAUAAACUGUAAAUUACAAUCAAGAACAAAACAAGAAGAUAAUUCUACACGUUAAAAACCUUCUAACUCAAGAAUGUUUUCAACGUAGCAAACCUAUCGAUCUUGAAGACUUCAGUUUGAUAAUUAAUUCUCACUUUUCUCUCUUUGUGAAGCCGUGGUCUUCUAUUCUGCGUAUGUCCUCUUUUUAUAGAUAUUCAUGCUGCCUGGAAUCCUUAUCAAAUAAGGUGUUUUGAUAAAAGAAAUUGUUAUACCUGAAGAUGCACUUGACUCUCUAAUUCUUACGAAGUCUAAUAAAGAAAAUUUGAUAUGUGAAGGUAUGACUUGUGUGUUAUGAAGAGAGAUUAGUUACAAGAGUUGAUUAUGUUGGCGGAUGAUUCAAGGUGCUAAUGAAGUUGAACGCUGGGCUUAGAUGAAUAAACAUUUUCCUCUAUAAUAUCUUUUUUUCAUAUGGUGAUUAUUGAGAAAGAAUCUGAGUUGCCGAAUUCUCUGAUGCUGCCAUGAAAUUGGAAGUUCAUAUCUUAAUGCUGAAAAUUCAGGGUAAGCUUUCACUAUUGAUCUUUUUGUUGGUUGAAUUUGAACUACAUUUUCGAAAAAAUUCAGCUACUAAUAUUGUAAGCUGAGGUGGUAUUAAAAAAAAUUGUUUUAAAUUACAAAGUCAGAAAUAACAAACAGGUUGAAUUAGGAGAAAAGGUUGAUUUCAGGCUCUCCAAUUUCCAAGUCCUUUAAGGUACAAUUCCACAUUUUCUUAAGAAGCUUUAAACAUUUUGGCCGUUUUCUUUUGAGAACUGAAUUUUUCGCUAUUAUGUAUUAUUUAUUGAUAAGGGCCCGUGAUGUUGGUGUUGCAUUUAUUUUUAGCAGUUGUUCUUGGAUAAAAGGUGAUACUUUAAAAUUAAAAAUUCUAUUACUAGAUUGAGUUCUAGAUGUCUGUCAUAUGAUCUUAUACUUUCUCGAUGUUUUUGCUUCAUGAGUGUUCAUAUUGGUUAAGAUGCAAUUGAUAAUGUUAAAAUUAUUUUUCAUCUGAUCAAUCCAGAAAAAAAUGAACAUAAGAAAUCUAUCAAAUAAGUAACAAUGUUGACUCUAGAAAAAAAAUUGAGAAAUGAGAGUAAUAAAAUGUCCACGUAAUGGAAGAAUCCUAUAAGACUAGCUAACUCUUUUCUUUAAUCUAUCAAAUAAGAGUUUGUUUUUCAAGAGUAGCUACUGACUACUAAAUUUUUCUUAUAUCAUAUGUGAAAUAAGAGUAGUAAUUUGAGUUGGCAAUAUAAUAGUAUUGUGUUAAAGUGCUGCCAUACGCUUCUUAUAGAUACACUUCAUGUUUUCUCUUUAUUUGUAGCAUAGUAUUCUUUUCAUUGGAAUUUUGUGUCAUGGUCAUUAAUGGGUUCCUUGUGUUUUGCUUAUUGCAUUUGCAGGUUUGGCAAUGAAAUAUGAAAAAAUGGAGGUUUUAUUUAGUCCAUGUAUAAACUCUAAAAUGUCAGUGACUGUUCCGCAAACACUUUUAGCUAAUUUAUCCUCACAUUCAUUUUUUAAAUAUUUUUACUCUUGUCAUGUCCUUCAAUGGAAAUAAAACAAACAUUUAUUUUGUAUUUCACGAGAGACAAUUUUGUAUAUGAGAUGUAGGUGAGACGAAGAGAAGCUGAAAUUUUUAGUAUGUGCUCUUUCUACGUCCCCGGAUUAAGAAGCAUAAAUAGGUAGAGCGUGAUCUCUU